UACGUAGGGCGCAAGCGUUAUCCGGAAUUAUUGGGCGUAAAGAGCUCGUAGGCGGUUUGUCGCGUCUGACGUGAAAGUUCGGGGCUCAACUCCGGAUCUGCGGUGGGUACGGGCAGACUAGAGUGAUGUAGGGGAGACUGGAAUUCCUGGUGUAGCGGUGAAAUGCGCAGAUAUCAGGAGGAACACCGAUGGCGAAGGCAGGUCUCUGGGCAUUAACUGACGCUGAGGAGCGAAAGCAUGGGGAGCGAACAGG
This 253-nucleotide ribosomal RNA is filed under the name uncultured bacterium. Its description in RNAcentral is "partial 16S ribosomal RNA". It matches the Rfam family "Bacterial small subunit ribosomal RNA", at positions 524 to 776 of the family's 1533-position model. The record is from RNAcentral.